This 466-nucleotide ribosomal RNA is filed under the name uncultured bacterium. RNAcentral's name for it is "bacterial SSU rRNA". It matches the Rfam family "Bacterial small subunit ribosomal RNA", at positions 917 to 1382 of the family's 1533-position model. The record is from RNAcentral.
GGGCCCGCACAAGCGGUGGAGCAUGUGGUUCAAUUCGACGCAACGCGAAGAACCUUACCUGGGCUCGAACGGCUGGUCAACGCUGGUAGAAAUACCGGUACCCCGCAAGGGGGUCCAGUCGAGGUGCUGCAUGGCUGUCGUCAGCUCGUGUCGUGAGAUGUUGGGUUAAGUCCCGCAACGAGCGCAACCCUUGUCCUGUGUUGCCAUCAUUCAGUUGGGAACUCGCAGGAGACCGCCAGCGAUAAGCUGGAGGAAGGUGGGGAUGACGUCAAGUCCUCAUGGCCUUUAUGUCCAGGGCUACACACGUGCUACAAUGGACGGUACAAACCGCAGCAAACCCGCGAGGGGGAGCCAAUCGGAAAAAACCGUUCUCAGUUCGGAUUGCAGGCUGCAACUCGCCUGCAUGAAGCUGGAAUCGCUAGUAAUGGCAGAUCAGCACGCUGCCGUGAAUACGUUCCCGGGCCUU